RNAcentral lists this long non-coding RNA (453 nucleotides) under Cyanistes caeruleus (blue tit). RNAcentral's name for it is "lncRNA (ENSCCEG00000001368.1)". Lineage: Eukaryota; Metazoa; Chordata; Aves; Passeriformes; Paridae. The record is from RNAcentral.
UGUCACCACACCAACUGACCCAGAAUGGCCAUGGCUGAAGCCUGCUGGAUGUCACCACCUGCUCUUUGCCACCCAUUCUUUUCUGGUUUGCCUUCUCCUAUCUUGCUUCCAGUCUACCAGCUUCAAAAGGAAAAAAGCUAGCUGAAGAGACCUGCACUACUGGUUAUUUGAUGCAUCCAGCCCCUCAGCCAUGUAAAUUUUCUUACAUACAAAUGUUCAUUGCCAUCUUUUACAUUCCUCUGCUGACAGUGAAGAGGUCGUGCUAAAUCAAACUGAUGGAGAAACUGGACAUCAUCUUUACCCUGAAUGCCCAGAUUAAUUCUACCAGAACAGAGGUGUCAGUACUGAGAAAGAUGAAUCAUUUAUUAGUGGGAGGCCUGACACAUGAUGAAAUCACUAUCUGACACUUCAAUGACUUCCAAUGUUGUUCUGUGAACAUUCAGCAAAGUGCAG